Molecule: ribosomal RNA, 247 nt
Filed under: uncultured bacterium
Lineage: Bacteria
Description: partial 16S ribosomal RNA
Rfam family: Bacterial small subunit ribosomal RNA
Source: RNAcentral
AUACGUAGGUGGCAAGCGUUGUCCGGAUUUACUGGGUGUAAAGGGCGUGUAGGCGGGUGCUUAAGUCAGUGGUGAAAUACCGAAGCUUAACUUCGGGGCUGCCAUUGAAACUGGGCAUCUUGAGUGCAGGAGAGGAAAGCGGAAUUCCUAGUGUAGCGGUGAAAUGCGUAGAUAUUAGGAGGAACACCAGUGGCGAAGGCGGCUUUCUGGACUGUAACUGACGCUGAGGCGCGAAAGCGUGGGGAGC